AAAGAAACAAAGAAGACUGCCAACACUUCCUGUGGGAAUAUUUAGGCAGUAGCUCAGUAACGUAACCCCACAGGGUCACAUCAGGGGUCAGCAAUAGUUCCCGGAUGUAGAGCCCCGCCCACCAGCAGCAUCAAGAACAUUAUGUUGAUCAGGCAGGGAAGCACAGGUUCAGACACAGGAUGACCCUAACACAAUGAGGUUGUGUGGCCGGAAACUUCUGCGGGCACUGGUGUACACCUGUGGAGGAUCCAGGUGGAGAAGACUGACAGGAGGAGAGGACAAAGUUCGAGAGGGUCAGUAUGGAGCUGCUUGAAUUUGUCUUAAUACCUUUGGUGUUAAUACCACAACUCUAAACAGAAUCGCAAAAUAGGAGACAUCUUGACAUCUUGUAAACAAAAGCUGAUAUCUCUUGGCAGGCAACAGGGAGCCAAAUCUACUGAAGAUGUCAGCCUUGGAUCGUCAUUGGCGGGACCAGAACCAAGCCUUAAUAACAACAUGUUGUCAACAAGGUUG
Monopterus albus (swamp eel) is the source of this 513-nucleotide long non-coding RNA. RefSeq lists it as uncharacterized. NCBI's taxonomy places the organism in Eukaryota, Metazoa, Chordata, Actinopteri, Synbranchiformes, Synbranchidae. The record is from RefSeq and is a predicted model, not a curated record. The transcript has 3 exons.